Phyllopteryx taeniolatus (common seadragon) is the source of this 219-nucleotide small nucleolar RNA. RefSeq annotates it as small nucleolar RNA SNORA73 family. NCBI's taxonomy places the organism in Eukaryota, Metazoa, Chordata, Actinopteri, Syngnathiformes, Syngnathidae. The transcript has a single exon. The record is from RefSeq and is a predicted model, not a curated record.
CUGACGUUGACAUCCAGUGAGUUGCUCUCCUGGCUCUGUCCUGGUGGCAUAUGGGAGCAUAGCCUCGUGCUAAGACGUACAUUCCCGUUCCACAUCGUCGGACAAAAAGUUCUGUCCCCGACUUCGCGGUCGGCGAGGGCGAACGCCCUGCAUAUUCCUACACCUUCCCAGAGUCCUUUGGGGCCGUUACUGGGGAGGCAAACCAUGCAGUGCACAUUC